AGGAACACCCACCAAGGAUGUGAUUUGUGGCAUCUUCCUGUGUUAAUUUGAGGAAGUUGGAUAAAGCACCAAAUGCAGCAGAGCACUCCAGCCUGGAGUCAAGGACUACUCCAGCAGUCAGGAAGUCCUGCAGCCCAUCUCCGCAGACCUCCCACCUCCUCAGCCUCCUGGUCACCCGGACCACCAGGUCAUGCAGCUCUACAGAGCCACCAGCUGAAGCAAGCUGAGGCAAGUGCCAUCCUCUUGAAUCUUCAGAACUGAGCUAAAUCACCUUCUCCUUUUACAAGGUUGGGGUUUGGCCAAUGUGAGGGGCACCAUCAGAUCAGAGGAAGGGAUGGAUGAAUUUAAGACCCACUGACUUGCUAUACGUGAAUCUUUUUUUGGAUGGAAAAUAAGGCAAGUUCUAUCAAUGUAUAAGUUAUCUGGUUAUAACUUUUCCA
This 440-nucleotide long non-coding RNA is filed under the name Cavia porcellus (domestic guinea pig). Its description in RNAcentral is "lncRNA (ENSCPOG00000031176.1)". Lineage: Eukaryota; Metazoa; Chordata; Mammalia; Rodentia; Caviidae. The record is from RNAcentral.